GAUUUUAAGGGUAUUUAAGAUUAUGGGAUACUUGAGAUUAUGGUACUUGAGGGUGGGGUUAUAUGAGAUUUGGGGUAUAAAAGAUUUGGGAUAUUUGAGAUUAAGGGGUAUAUGAGAUAGGGUAUAAGAGAUUAGUGGUAUAUGAGAUUAAUGGUGUAAGAGAUUAAGAGAUUAGGGAUAUGUGAAGAUUAUGAGGUUUAGGGGUAUAAGAAAUUGAGGGUAUAUGGGAUUAAGGGUACUGGGGUAAGAAUAUAAGAGAUUAAGGGUUUAGGGGUGUGGGGUAUAUGGGAUGAUGCCGCAAAACUGUAAUU
Molecule: long non-coding RNA, 311 nt
Filed under: Brassica rapa (field mustard)
Lineage: Eukaryota; Viridiplantae; Streptophyta; Magnoliopsida; Brassicales; Brassicaceae
Description: long non-coding RNA (BRAP_LNC000784)
Source: RNAcentral